GCAGUUUUCUAAAACAUAUUCUUUAUCAUUAUGGGUCCUAAGACCAAGGUUAAGAGUACCAGUGUCGAAAAAGUUGCAAAUCCUGUAAUUUGUCGUAUAAAACGUAGCGUUGCAGAGGUAGACGGCAGAAAAACUUUUCGCUGGACACCACAGAUAAAAAUUGAAAUGGCACAUUAUGUCGUCGACAAUUACACCGCGUUUAAGAUGACCAAACGCACGGAAUUUCUUCGUCGUCUCCAAGAUGCUUUGGCCCUUAACUGCGAAGAAAGUCAAUUAAAAAAUGAUUUCUUAAAACGUACACAGAGACUAAAGAGAAGUUAACGGGUUUUGGGAUUGACCCUGAGAAAGACGAAACUCUGGACAAAAGUUCGGUCGUUUUCCUCCAAUUACAUCAAAUCAAAUUAUUUUCAAUUUUCAAUGCGAAGCCGAAAUAAAAAUACUGGAACUCAAAAUUCAAUUGGAAACUCUUAAAUCUAAAUCCUAAAUAUAUGACUUAUAAAAUUGUUUAUUGCUGCUGCAUAAAAUGAAUUAUUUGAGAUAA
Molecule: long non-coding RNA, 541 nt
Organism: Folsomia candida
Lineage: Eukaryota; Metazoa; Arthropoda; Collembola; Entomobryomorpha; Isotomidae
Exons: 2
Source: RefSeq, a predicted model, not a curated record